Molecule: ribosomal RNA, 392 nt
Filed under: uncultured bacterium
Lineage: Bacteria
Description: partial 16S ribosomal RNA
Rfam family: Bacterial small subunit ribosomal RNA
Source: RNAcentral
AUACGGAGGAUCCGAGCGUUAUCCGGAUUUAUUGGGUUUAAAGGGUGCGCAGGCGGCCAUUUAAGUCAGCGGUUAAAUCGUGGGGCUCAACCCCAUUCUGCCGUUGAUACUGGGUGGCUUGAUUGCUGUCGAGGUUGGCGGAAUUCGUUGUGUAGCGGUGAAAUGCAUAGAUAUGACGAAGAACACCGAUUGCGUAGGCAGCUGACCAGAUCGCAAAUGACGCUCAUGCACGAAAGUGCGGGGAUCGAACAGGAUUAGAUACCCUGGUAGUCCGCACAGUAAACGAUGAAUACUUGUUUUCGGCGAUAUAAUGUCGGAGGCAAAGCGAAAGCGAUAAGUAUUCCACCUGGGGAGUACGCCGGCAACGGUGAAACUCAAAUGAAUUGGCGGGG